This 254-nucleotide ribosomal RNA is filed under the name uncultured Gardnerella sp. RNAcentral's name for it is "partial 16S ribosomal RNA". It matches the Rfam family "Bacterial small subunit ribosomal RNA", at positions 101 to 355 of the family's 1533-position model. Lineage: Bacteria; Bacillati; Actinomycetota; Actinomycetes; Bifidobacteriales; Bifidobacteriaceae. The record is from RNAcentral.
AACGGGUGAGUAAUGCGUGACCAACCUGCCCCAUGCUCCAGAAUAGCUCUUGGAAACGGGUGGGAAUGCUGGAUGCUCCAACUUGACGCAUGUCUUGUUGGGAAAGUGUUUAGUGGCAUGGGAUGGGGUCGCGUCCUAUCAGCUUGUAGGCGGGGUAAUGGCCCACCUAGGCUUCGACGGGUAGCCGGCCUGAGAGGGCGGACGGCCACAUUGGGACUGAGAUACGGCCCAGACUCCUACGGGAGGCAGCAGCC